This 253-nucleotide ribosomal RNA is filed under the name uncultured bacterium. Its description in RNAcentral is "partial 16S ribosomal RNA". It matches the Rfam family "Bacterial small subunit ribosomal RNA", at positions 524 to 776 of the family's 1533-position model. The record is from RNAcentral.
UACGAGUGCUUCAAGCGUUAUCCGGAAUCAUUGGGCGUAAAGGGUGCGUAGGCGGCGAUGUUAGUCUUCUGUUAAAUCUUUCGGCUCAACCGAGAGUCUGCAGGGGAAACGGCAUUGCUUGAGGACGGAAGAGGUCUCUGGAACUCAUGGUGUAGCGGUGAAAUGCGUUGAUAUCAUGGGGAACACCAAAAGCGAAGGCAAGAGACUGGUCCGCUCCUGACGCUGAAGCACGAAAGCGUGGGUCGCGAAUGGG